RNAcentral lists this ribosomal RNA (460 nucleotides) under uncultured bacterium. Its description in RNAcentral is "partial 16S ribosomal RNA". It matches the Rfam family "Bacterial small subunit ribosomal RNA", at positions 338 to 795 of the family's 1533-position model. The record is from RNAcentral.
CCUACGGGAGGCAGCAGUGAGGAAUAUUGGUCAAUGGACGAGAGUCUGAACCAGCCAAGUAGCGUGAAGGAUGACUGCCCUAUGGGUUGUAAACUUCUUUUAUAUGGGAAUAAAAUGUUCCACGUGUGGGCUUUUGUAUGUACCAUAUGAAUAAGGAUCGGCUAACUCCGUGCCAGCAGCCGCGGUAAUACGGAGGAUCCGAGCGUUAUCCGGAUUUAUUGGGUUUAAAGGGAGCGUAGGUGGAUUGUUAAGUCAGUUGUGAAAGUUUGCGGCUCAACCGUAAAAUUGCAGUUGAAACUGGCAGUCUUGAGUAGAGUAGAGGUGGGCGGAAUUCGUGGUGUAGCGGUGAAAUGCUUAGAUAUCACGCAGAACUCCGAUUGCGAAGGCAGCUCACUGGCCUGCAACUGACACUGAGGCUCGAAAGUGUGGGUAUCAAACAGGAUUAGAUACCCCUGUAGUC